RNAcentral lists this small RNA (287 nucleotides) under Priestia veravalensis. Its description in RNAcentral is "Bacillus sp. SGD-V-76 5' ureB small RNA". It matches the Rfam family "5' ureB small RNA". Lineage: Bacteria; Bacillati; Bacillota; Bacilli; Caryophanales; Bacillaceae. The record is from Rfam by way of RNAcentral.
CGGUUUCAAUUUGUUGUGGACAGAUAAAGUGAAUGUGCGCAUCAAUUCCUCCAGCCGUCACAAUUUUUCCUUCCGCAGCAAUAAUUUCUGUACUAGCCCCAAUAACAAGAUCAACAUCAUCCAUUAAUAAUGGAUUUCCCGCUUUUCCAAUGGUUUGAAUCAUGCCAUCUUUUACACCAAUAUCUGCUUUGUAUAUCCCCGUAUAAUCCAUGAUGAUGGCAUUCGUAAAAACAAGAUCUGCUGCUUCACUUCUUGUCGCAAGAGGAUGCUGUCCCAUCCCAUCACGG